This 543-nucleotide ribosomal RNA is filed under the name uncultured beta proteobacterium. Its description in RNAcentral is "partial 16S ribosomal RNA". Lineage: Bacteria; Pseudomonadati; Pseudomonadota; Betaproteobacteria. The record is from RNAcentral.
UCCAGGCGGCUGACUUCACGCGUUAGCUACGUUACUCAGGAUGUAAAUCCCGAACAACUAGUCAGCAUCGUUUAGGGCGUGGACUACCAGGGUAUCUAAUCCUGUUUGCUCCCCACGCUUUCGUGCAUGAGCGUCAGUGUUAUCCCAGGGGGCUGCCUUCGCCAUUGGUAUUCCUCCACAUAUCUACGCAUUUCACUGCUACACGUGGAAUUCUACCCCCCUCUGACACACUCUAGCUAUACAGUCACAGGCGCCAUUCCCAGGUUAAGCCCGGGGAUUUCACGCCUGUCUUGUAUAACCGCCUGCGCACGCUUUACGCCCAGUAAUUCCGAUUAACGCUCGCACCCUACGUAUUACCGCGGCUGCUGGCACGUAGUUAGCCGGUGCUUAUUCUUCAGGUACCGUCAUUCCCGGACUGUGUUAGAGCCGGUGUUUCUUCCCUGACAAAAGAGCUUUACAACCCGAAGGCCUUCUUCACUCACGCGGCAUUGCUGGAUCAGGGUUUCCCCCAUUGUCCAAAAUUCCCCACUGCUGCCUCCCGUA